Molecule: ribosomal RNA, 769 nt
Filed under: uncultured bacterium
Lineage: Bacteria
Description: bacterial SSU rRNA
Rfam family: Bacterial small subunit ribosomal RNA
Source: RNAcentral
AAGAACGUCAAGGGCGAAGGCAGGCAUCUGGGGCAAUUCUGACACUGAUGAACGAAAGCUAGGGGAGCGAAAGGGAUUAGAGACCCCUGUAGUCCUAGCUGUAAACGAUCCUCGCUAGAUUCUGGUUUUAUCGGAGUCGUAAGCUAACGCGUUAAGCGAGGCGCCUGGGGAGUACGACCGCAAGGUUGAAACUCAAAGGAAUUGACGGGGACCCGCACAACCAGUGGAGCAUGUGGUUUAAUUCGAGACGAAGCGUUGAACCUUACCUGGACUCGACAUGUUAGCUGCGCUCCCGCCGAAAAGUGGGAUUCUUUCGAAGGUGCUAACAAAGCUGCUGCAUGGCUAUCGUAAGCUCGUACCGUAGGGUGUUCUCUUAAGUGAGAUAACGAGCGCAACCCUUGUCCCGUGUUACAUAUCACGGGAGACUGCUCCGGCAUUCGCCGGGGAGGAAGGAGAGGAUGACGUUAAGUCAGCACGGUGCUUAUGUCCAGGGCGACACACAUCCUACAAUCCCUGCAACAGCGAGUUGCAAAGCCGCGAGGCGGAGCUAAUCUCUUAAAGGCAGGGUCAGUUCAGAUUGCAGGCUGAAAUUCGCCUGCAUGAAGUUGGAAUUGGUAGUAAUCGCAGGUCAGCAGACUGCGGUGAAUACGUUCUCGGGUCUUGUACACACCGCCCAUCAAGCGAAGAAAGCCGGUAGUACCCGAACCCCGCCCUUGGCGGAGGAAGGUAAGAUCGGUGAUCAGCACUAAGUCGUAACAAGGUAACCGUA